RNAcentral lists this ribosomal RNA (856 nucleotides) under Microbacterium sp. 119 TW. Its description in RNAcentral is "bacterial SSU rRNA". It matches the Rfam family "Bacterial small subunit ribosomal RNA", at positions 531 to 1384 of the family's 1533-position model. Lineage: Bacteria; Bacillati; Actinomycetota; Actinomycetes; Micrococcales; Microbacteriaceae. The record is from RNAcentral.
GGCGCAGNCGUUAUCCGGAAUUAUUGGGCGUAAAGAGCUCGUAGGCGGUUUGUCGCGUCUGCUGUGAAAUCCCGAGGCUCAACCUCGGGCCUGCAGUGGGUACGGGCAGACUAGAGUGCGGUAGGGGAGAUUGGAAUUCCUGGUGUAGCGGUGGAAUGCGCAGAUAUCAGGAGGAACACCGAUGGCGAAGGCAGAUCUCUGGGCCGUAACUGACGCUGAGGAGCGAAAGGGUGGGGAGCAAACAGGCUUAGAUACCCUGGUAGUCCACCCCGUAAACGUUGGGAACUAGUUGUGGGGACCAUUCCACGGUUUCCGUGACGCAGCUAACGCAUUAAGUUCCCCGCCUGGGGAGUACGGCCGCAAGGCUAAAACUCAAAGGAAUUGACGGGGACCCGCACAAGCGGCGGAGCAUGCGGAUUAAUUCGAUGCAACGCGAAGAACCUUACCAAGGCUUGACAUACACCAGAACACCGUAGAAAUACGGGACUCUUUGGACACUGGUGAACAGGUGGUGCAUGGUUGUCGUCAGCUCGUGUCGUGAGAUGUUGGGUUAAGUCCCGCAACGAGCGCAACCCUCGUUCUAUGUUGCCAGCACGUAAUGGUGGGAACUCAUGGGAUACUGCCGGGGUCAACUCGGAGGAAGGUGGGGAUGACGUCAAAUCAUCAUGCCCCUUAUGUCUUGGGCUUCACGCAUGCUACAAUGGCCGGUACAAAGGGCUGCAAUACCGUGAGGUGGAGCGAAUCCCAAAAAGCCGGUCCCAGUUCGGAUUGAGGUCUGCAACUCGACCUCAUGAAGUCGGAGUCGCUAGUAAUCGCAGAUCAGCAACGCUGCGGUGAAUACGUUCCCGGGUCUUGU